RNAcentral lists this transfer RNA (87 nucleotides) under Planctomycetota bacterium. Its description in RNAcentral is "Planctomycetes bacterium (freshwater metagenome) tRNA-Leu". It matches the Rfam family "tRNA". From Rfam's summary of the family: Transfer RNA (tRNA) molecules are approximately 80 nucleotides in length. Their secondary structure includes four short double-helical elements and three loops (D, anti-codon, and T loops). Further hydrogen bonds mediate the characteristic L-shaped molecular structure. tRNAs have two regions of fundamental functional importance: the anti-codon, which is responsible for specific mRNA codon recognition, and the 3' end, to which the tRNAs corresponding amino acid is attached (by aminoacyl-tRNA synthetases). tRNAs cope with the degeneracy of the genetic code in two manners: having more than one tRNA (with a specific anti-codon) for a particular amino acid; and 'wobble' base-pairing, i.e. permitting non-standard base-pairing at the 3rd anti-codon position. The record is from RNAcentral. Lineage: Bacteria; Pseudomonadati; Planctomycetota.
GGGGAUGUGGCGAAACCGGCAGACGCAUCGGACUUAAAAUCCGAAGCCCGCAAGGGCGUGCGGGUUCGACUCCCGCCAUCCCCACCA